UGCCUACGGGGGGCAGCAGUGGGGAAUAUUGCACAAUGGGGGGAACCCUGAUGCAGCGACGCCGCGUGAGUGAAGAAGUAUUUCGGUAUGUAAAGCUCUAUCAGCAGGGAAGAAAAUGACGGUACCUGACUAAGAAGCCCCGGCUAACUACGUGCCAGCAGCCGCGGUAAUACGUAGGGGGCAAGCGUUAUCCGGAUUUACUGGGUGUAAAGGGAGCGCAGACGACUGUGCAAGUCUGGAGUGAAAGGCGGGGGCCCAACCCCCGGACUGCUCUGGAAACUGUAAAGCUGGAGUGCAGGAGAGGG
This 305-nucleotide ribosomal RNA is filed under the name uncultured bacterium. Its description in RNAcentral is "partial 16S ribosomal RNA". It matches the Rfam family "Bacterial small subunit ribosomal RNA", at positions 335 to 658 of the family's 1533-position model. The record is from RNAcentral.